GAUGAACGCUAGCGGCAGGCUUAACACAUGCAAGUCGAAGGGUAACAGGGGAAGAGCUUGCUCUUCCCGCUGACGACUGGCGCACGGGUGAGUAACACGUAUGCAACCUGCCCUCCACAGGGGGACAACCUUCCGAAAGGGAGGCUAAUCCCGCGUAAAUCAUCGGGAGGCAUCUCCGGGUGAGGAAAGACACGUCGGUGGAGGAUGGGCAUGCGGCGCAUUAGCUUGUCGGCGGGGUAACGGCCCACCGAGGCUACGAUGCGUAGGGGUUCUGAGAGGAAGGUCCCCCACAUUGGUACUGAGACACGGACCAAACUCCUACGGGAGGCAGCAGUGAGGAAUAUUGGUCAAUGGGCGGAAGCCUGAACCAGCCAAGUCGCGUGAGGGAAGACGGCCCUAAGGGUUGUAAACCUCUUUUGCCGGGGAGCAAAGCGCCGUGCGCGGUGCUAUGAGAGUACCCGGAGAAAAGCAUCGGCUAACUCCGUG
This 486-nucleotide ribosomal RNA is filed under the name uncultured bacterium. RNAcentral describes it as "bacterial SSU rRNA". It matches the Rfam family "Bacterial small subunit ribosomal RNA", at positions 28 to 507 of the family's 1533-position model. The record is from RNAcentral.